AACUGAUGAGGUAUCUUCUUGAAGUGUCAUCUUCAAGGGCAAGACACUAUGAGAAAGUAGUACUAACUGAAGUAACUACAAAAAAUGACAAUUUCAGUGGACCUGAAAAUCUGCCUUAUGGGGCUUGCAUGUGAUAUGAUACAAAUCUACCUACAUGAGCUAUAAUCCUUGUGAGGAUAUUCAUUGAUGGAGUAGAAGGAGUUGGCCAACAGGAAGUUCUGUAAUUCACUCUGAUAUCAAUCUUUAUCACUUACAAGACCUUCGAUAUGCUCUGGUACAUAACAGAUUGCAAGACGAAGCAAGGACUGGAGUAAAAUUCAGGAAGACCUGCGGAGGAUUUGCACUUGGUGCAAGGAGUAGCAACUUACUGUCAACAUAAGCAAAUUUAAUGUAUUGUGUAUAUGUAGUUAGAAAGACAUAUUAGUCCAUGACUACAGGAUAGCAGAAUGCUUGCUGGUAGCAGUUACUUCAGUAAAAUAUGUAGGAGUAUA
Schistocerca serialis cubense is the source of this 491-nucleotide long non-coding RNA. RefSeq lists it as uncharacterized. NCBI's taxonomy places the organism in Eukaryota, Metazoa, Arthropoda, Insecta, Orthoptera, Acrididae. The record is from RefSeq and is a predicted model, not a curated record. The transcript has 3 exons.